Molecule: ribosomal RNA, 1685 nt
Filed under: Escherichia coli
Lineage: Bacteria; Pseudomonadati; Pseudomonadota; Gammaproteobacteria; Enterobacterales; Enterobacteriaceae
Description: partial 23S ribosomal RNA
Rfam family: Bacterial large subunit ribosomal RNA
Source: RNAcentral
UGGAGGUAUCAGAAGUGCGAAUGCUGACAUAAGUAACGAUAAAGCGGGUGAAAAGCCCGCUCGCCGGAAGACCAAGGGUUCCUGUCCAACGUUAAUCGGGGCAGGGUGAGUCGACCCCUAAGGCGAGGCCGAAAGGCGUAGUCGAUGGGAAACAGGUUAAUAUUCCUGUACUUGGUGUUACUGCGAAGGGGGGACGGAGAAGGCUAUGUUGGCCGGGCGACGGUUGUCCCGGUUUAAGCGUGUAGGCUGGUUUUCCAGGCAAAUCCGGAAAACCAAGGCUGAGGCGUGAUGACGAGGCACUACGGUGCUGAAGCAACAAAUGCCCUGCUUCCAGGAAAAGCCUCUAAGCAUCAGGUAACAUCAAAUCGUACCCCAAACCGACACAGGUGGUCAGGUAGAGAAUACCAAGGCGCUUGAGAGAACUCGGGUGAAGGAACUAGGCAAAAUGGUGCCGUAACUUCGGGAGAAGGCACGCUGAUAUGUAGGUGAAGCGACUUGCUCGUGGAGCUGAAAUCAGUCGAAGAUACCAGCUGGCUGCAACUGUUUAUUAAAAACACAGCACUGUGCAAACACGAAAGUGGACGUAUACGGUGUGACGCCUGCCCGGUGCCGGAAGGUUAAUUGAUGGGGUUAGCGGUAACGCGAAGCUCUUGAUCGAAGCCCCGGUAAACGGCGGCCGUAACUAUAACGGUCCUAAGGUAGCGAAAUUCCUUGUCGGGUAAGUUCCGACCUGCACGAAUGGCGUAAUGAUGGCCAGGCUGUCUCCACCCGAGACUCAGUGAAAUUGAACUCGCUGUGAAGAUGCAGUGUACCCGCGGCAAGACGGAAAGACCCCGUGAACCUUUACUAUAGCUUGACACUGAACAUUGAGCCUUGAUGUGUAGGAUAGGUGGGAGGCUUUGAAGUGUGGACGCCAGUCUGCAUGGAGCCGACCUUGAAAUACCACCCUUUAAUGUUUGAUGUUCUAACGUGGGCCCCUUACCGGGGUUGCGGACAGUGUCUGGUGGGUAGUUUGACUGGGGCGGUCUCCUCCUAAAGAGUAACGGAGGAGCACGAAGGUUGGCUAAUCCUGGUCGGACAUCAGGAGGUUAGUGCAAUGGCAUAAGCCAGCUUGACUGCGAGCGUGACGGCGCGAGCAGGUGCGAAAGCAGGUCAUAGUGAUCCGGUGGUUCUGAAUGGAAGGGCCAUCGCUCAACGGAUAAAAGGUACUCCGGGGAUAACAGGCUGAUACCGCCCAAGAGUUCAUAUCGACGGCGGUGUUUGGCACCUCGAUGUCGGCUCAUCACAUCCUGGGGCUGAAGUAGGUCCCAAGGGUAUGGCUGUUCGCCAUUUAAAGUGGUACGCGAGCUGGGUUUAGAACGUCGUGAGACAGUUCGGUCCCUAUCUGCCGUGGGCGCUGGAGAACUGAGGGGGGCUGCUCCUAGUACGAGAGGACCGGAGUGGACGCAUCACUGGUGUUCGGGUUGUCAUGCCAAUGGCACUGCCCGGUAGCUAAAUGCGGAAGAGAUAAGUGCUGAAAGCAUCUAAGCACGAAACUUGCCCCGAGAUGAGUUCUCCCUGAGACUUAGAGUCUCCUGAAGGAACGUUGAAGACGACGACGUUGAUAGGCCGGGUGUGUAAGCGCAGCGAUGCGUUGAGCUAACCGGUACUAAUGAACCGUGAGGCUUAACCUUACAACGCCGAAG